AGCGAACGCUGGCGGCAGGCUUAACACAUGCAAGUCGAACGCCCCGCAAGGGGAGUGGCAGACGGGUGAGUAACACGUGGGAACGUACCCUUUGGUUCGGACUAACUUGGGGAAACUCAAGCUAAUACCGGAUAAGCCCUUAUGGGGAAAGGUUUACUGCCGAAGGAUCGGCCCGCGUCUGAUUAGCUAGUUGGUGAGGUAAUGGCUCACCAAGGCGACGAUCAGUAGCUGGUCUGAGAGGAUGAUCAGCCACACUGGGACUGAGACACGGCCCAGACUCCUACGGGAGGCAGCAGUGGGGAAUAUUGGACAAUGGGGGCAACCCUGAUCCAGCCAUGCCGCGUGAGUGAUGAAGGCCUUAGGGUUGUGAAGCUCUUUUACCCGGGACGAUAAUGACUGUACCGGGAGAAUAAGCCCCGGCUAACUUCGUGCCAGCCGCCGCCGUAA
This 447-nucleotide ribosomal RNA is filed under the name uncultured bacterium. RNAcentral describes it as "partial 16S ribosomal RNA". It matches the Rfam family "Bacterial small subunit ribosomal RNA", at positions 29 to 523 of the family's 1533-position model. The record is from RNAcentral.